This 486-nucleotide ribosomal RNA is filed under the name uncultured bacterium. RNAcentral's name for it is "bacterial SSU rRNA". It matches the Rfam family "Bacterial small subunit ribosomal RNA", at positions 32 to 519 of the family's 1533-position model. The record is from RNAcentral.
AAUCAACGCUGGCGGCGUGCCUCAGACAUGCAAGUCGAACGCGAAAGUCCCCUUCGGGGGACAAGUAGAGUGGCGCACGGGUGAGUAACACGUGGGUAAUUUACCUUCGGGUGGGGAAUAACAGUCGGAAACGACUGCUAAUACCGCAUGACGCAGCGGCACCACAUGGUGACAGUUGUUAAAGCGGGGGAUCGCAAGACCUCGCGCCUGAAGAGAAGCCCGCGGCAGAUAGCUUGUUGGUGGGGUAACGGCCUACCAAGGCGAUGAUCCGUAGCUGGUCUGAGAGGAUGAUCAGCCACACUGGGACUGAGACACGGCCCAGACUCCUACGGGAGGCAGCAGUGGGGAAUAUUGGACAAUGGCGCAAGCCUGAUCCAGCAACGCCGCGUGAGUGAGGAAGGCCUUAGGGUUGUAAGCUCUUUCACCCGCGACGAUGAUGACGGUAGCGGGAGAAGAAGCCCGGCUAACUUCGUGACAGCAGCCGCU